CUUCGGGAUAAGCCUGGGAAACUGGGUCUAAUACCGGAUAUGACCUUCUCCUGCAUGGGGGUUGGUGGAAAGUUUUUGCGGUACAGGAUGGGCCCGCGGCCUAUCAGCUUGUUGGUGGGGUAAUGGCCUACCAAGGCGACGACGGGUAGCCGGCCUGAGAGGGCGACCGGCCACACUGGGACUGAGACACGGCCCAGACUCCUACGGGAGGCAGCAGUGGGGAAUAUUGCACAAUGGGCGAAAGCCUGAUGCAGCGACGCCGCGUGAGGGAUGACGGCCUUCGGGUUGUAAACCUCUUUCAGUAGGGACGAAGCGCAAGUGACGGUACCUACAGAAGAAGCACCGGCCAACUACGUGCCAGCAGCCGCGGUAAUACGUAGGGUGCGAGCGUUGUCCGGAUUUACUGGGCGUAAAGAGCUCGUAGGCGGUUUGUCACGUCGUCUGUGAAAACCCGAGGCUUAACCUCGGGCCUGCAGGCGAUACGGGCAGACUUGAGUACUGUAGGGGAGACUGGAAUUCCUGGUGUAGCGGUGGAAUGCGCAGAUAUCAGGAGGAACACCGGUGGCGAAGGCGGGUCUCUGGGCAGUAACUGACGCUGAG
This 600-nucleotide ribosomal RNA is filed under the name Tsukamurella sp. RNAcentral's name for it is "bacterial SSU rRNA". It matches the Rfam family "Bacterial small subunit ribosomal RNA", at positions 136 to 750 of the family's 1533-position model. Lineage: Bacteria; Bacillati; Actinomycetota; Actinomycetes; Mycobacteriales; Tsukamurellaceae. The record is from RNAcentral.